RNAcentral lists this small RNA (869 nucleotides) under Pan troglodytes (chimpanzee). RNAcentral's name for it is "processed transcript". Lineage: Eukaryota; Metazoa; Chordata; Mammalia; Primates; Hominidae. The record is from RNAcentral.
GCUCUUCUCCAGGAAACCUGGGCUUCCUGCUUCCCUCGCCUCUGCCUUUCUCGUUUCCCGAGGCCGCCCGCGCGUGGACGGUUGGGGUUAGCGGCCGCGGGGGCCGGUGGGGGUCGUGGGGCCUCCCCCACCCGAGUACAGGCGAGCGAGCGGCAUCCGGGCGGACCCCCGCCUCGGGGACCGGGAAACUGAGGCUCGGGCGGCCCCGAGACGCCGUCAAGGUCAUGUAGGUGGUGGGGGCUUGCACCUUCGCCUCCCGACUCCAUCCAGUUCGUGUUUGCUGUGAGGACGGUACCGGGUCAGGGGUGGUGAGAGCGGGCGGGCAGGUGGACAGGAACCCCGUGCCCUUCCCUGUCUGCUGAACGGAAUGCGUGGACCUCCGGGGGAGCCCAGAGUGCCUCCCUUCACACCAGUGAGACGCAGUUUGGGGUGUCCCUGGCCAGUGUCCUUCCACCUGUCCACAAGCAUGGGGAACAUCUUCGCCAACCUCUUCAAGGGCCUUUUUGGCAAAAAAGAAAUGCGCAUCCUCAUGGUGGGCCUGGAUGCUGCAGGGAAGACCACGAUCCUCUACAAGCUUAAGCUGGGUGAGAUCGUGACCACCAUUCCCACCAUAGGUGAGGUGGGGGCCAGCAGGGAGUGGGCUGGGCUGGCCUGGGCCAAGGUACAAGGCCUCACCCUGCAUCCCGCACCCAGGCUUCAACGUGGAAACCGUGGAGUACAAGAACAUCAGCUUCACUGUGUGGGACGUGGGUGGCCAGGACAAGAUCCGGCCCCUGUGGCGCCACUACUUCCAGAACACACAAGGCCUGAUCUUCGUGGUGGACAGCAAUGACAGAGAGCGUGUGAACGAGGCCCGUGAGGAGCUCAUG